GUGCACGCUGGCGGUAGGCCUAACCCAUGCACGUCGCACGGCAGCACAGUAAGAGCUUGCUCUUACGGGUGGCGAGUGGCGGACGGGUGAGGAAUACAUCGGAAUCUACUUUUUCGUGGGGGAUAACGUAGGGAAACUUACGCUAAUACCGCAUACGACCUACGGGUGAAAGCAGGGGAUCUUCGGACCUUGCGCGAUUGAAUGAGCCGAUGUCGGAUUAGCUAGUUGGCGGGGUAAAGGCCCACCAAGGCGACGAUCCGUAGCUGGUCUGAGAGGAUGAUCAGCCACACUGGAACUGAGACACGGUCCAGACUCCUACGGGAGGCAGCAGUGGGGAAUAUUGGACAAUGGGCGCAAGCCUGAUCCAGCCAUACCGCGUGGGUGAAGAAGGCCUUCGGGUUGUAAAGCCCUUUUGUUGGGAAAGAAAAGCAGCAGGUUAAUACCCCGCUGUUCUGACGGUACCCAAAGAAUAAGCACCGGCUAACUUCGUG
RNAcentral lists this ribosomal RNA (491 nucleotides) under uncultured bacterium. Its description in RNAcentral is "partial 16S ribosomal RNA". It matches the Rfam family "Bacterial small subunit ribosomal RNA", at positions 29 to 507 of the family's 1533-position model. The record is from RNAcentral.